CCCAGUGGAUUGCAAAUACCUAUGUAAAAUGUAUAGGAUAAGGCAAUGUAAGUCGCUUUCGAUAAAAGCGUCUGCCAAGUGCCUAAAUGUAAAUGUUCUGUAUUUUGUAAUUACUGUAGGCUAUUUCUGCAUCUGUCCGCACUUCUUUCUUACAAUUAUUUCUUUGUUAUACAAAGAUAUUUAAUUUCGUUGUCAUAGCUUUGACAAGAACGUUAAAAAACUAUAUUUUUUGAUCAACCUCUUUAUUCCACUUGGUAUUUUUUUUCACAGAUGUAAAUUUCAAGGUAAGGUUACUAAGUCAUACUUCUUUGUUUGUAAAGAUCUUAAGUCCUGCUUAGAUGCUCUCAUUGACUCUUGCAACCCAAAAGCCCUCAAAACUUUAACGUUGUGUCAUUGACAUGAUAUUUUUCUAAUUUUGUAACGUUGUAAUAUUUGUCUCUGUUCACUCCUGGUAUUGUAUUCGUUUCAAUAAAAAAGAGGUUUUAGAGAUGUGAACGUAGCUGUAUCACUUUUAGCUCUAACCUGAGAGAUCGCGUUCGGAACAUAUUCGACGCAGAUUAACGAUAAAAUAAAUUUGUUUAAAAAUAAACGACAAUGAGUGAAUGAGUGAGUGUGUGUGCCCUGCGAUGGGUUGGCACUCCAUCCAGGGUGUAUCCUGCCUUGAUGCCCGAUGACUCCUGAGAUAGGCACAGGCUCCCCGUGACCCGAGGUAGUUCGGAUAAGCGGUAGAAAAUGAAAUGAAAUAAACGACAAAGGACGUUUAUGGCCUUGCACUCAAAGUCGGUGAGUUCAGUAUAAGUGCAUUACCACAUAUUUUACGUAAUCUGUUGCUGAACGUAACGUCAUCGCGCAGGAAAGGCCGCCAUCUUGUAUGCUACGCACAAAAGGAGACGCUUCUGUAGUGCGCAGCGACAGAGUGUCCGAUUGAAAUCUCUUGUAGGGGUUAAACUUAAUGAAGCAACGGUACGUUAAAUAGUAAAACAGUACAAACUUUAGCAACUACUCAUAUACUAUGCAGCGGCCGUCACAGCUUCAGUAGCAAACAAAAUGGCGGCCGCGAUGACGUCGUUUCCCGGACUCCGGGUCGACGCGCAAUAUGAUCACGUCUGAACUGUAAGUAAUCUAUAAUAAUACUAUAAACGAGCGCACGUCAAAUCUUUAUUUGGGUUAUUUUGAUGCACUUAUCAAUCAUAACACAUUGAAACAUUUAAAAGAAAGAUCCGUGUGCGUCUGUGUAAAAAAGGUGAAGCUACUAAAAGCUUAGGCUAUUAUGUUAGCUGUCAAUCUGGGCCCGUAUUCAUGAAAAAUCUAGUAAAAGUUUCUUAAGCAGCCGAGAAAAUGGACGAAACACGAAAAGUGAGAAGAAAUGAUGCACUUAUAUGUAAAUAUUUGCCGAUAACGAUAACCGAUGAUUCUUUUACAUUGGAAGCCGAUAACAGAUAUGUUGGCCGAUCUACAGUAUCUAGAUAUUAAUAUAACAUUUCCUAAAUCUGAAACAAAAGUCAAAAAGUGGACAACUGCUUAUAUCUCUUUUUUCCCCUGAACAUCACCAAGUCUUCUUUACACUAGUUUAAGAUUAUUUAACCUUAAAAAUUUUAUGGUAUAUUUUUUAUUCAACAAACAAAUUAUAGAUGUUCUUCCCGAGCAACCUAGAAAAAAAAUAUUAAUGGCCAUAAUAAAGUCUAACAGGUCUCAAGACAGAAGAAAUUCAGACAUUAGUCUGAUUAAAAAAUAUGUUUUUGUUCCUGUAAUUUACACAUUUAUAAAUACUGUAUCUACAUACUGUACCUACAUCAACAAUGCUUUGCCAAGUGAAUGUUCACGACAUAAGGUUACUGUAGUGUAUAUUAACUGUGAGCAGCGUCCCACUGAAGAAGUUUUACCAGAGGAAAUUAUUUAUGAUUUAUCGGCUAUAAUACUUCGGACUAAAUUUUAUUAUCGGCCGAUACCGAUAUGGCCGAUAACUAAUCCUGCAUCCCUAGUUGCAAUGCAUGUCAAUUUCCAUAUAACUUUCCAGUUUUAUCUGCUUUUUUAUUUUGAGUGUUUUUUGUGUGUGUUCAACUUUUGUUUAUCUUGGUUUGGUUUUCUUGUACAGCUGCUUUGAUGCAAUGCAAAAUGUUAAAGUGCUAUAUUAAAUUGAAUGACAGUGAGUUAAUAAGACACAACACAUAAGCUCCAGCAGGGUUCAUGUUUGUGAGUAUGGUAAGAAUUCCAAGUAGUUAUGAAUGGCAAGUUUCAAGCAGUUGCUUACAACGUAUUUGAAGCCUUCUCCGUAUGCAAGAAAAAGAUUAAACUGGGAAUGUAGGGUGUGUUUUUUAUUUUGUUAUGCAGGUCUUAAAUUGAAUUAAUAAUGGAUUUAAAAAGGUCUUAAAUUUGACUUGGUGAAACCUCAAGAAUUAUAUAAUAUAUAAUAAAAGCCUGUUUCCAAAUCAUUUUGGGUCACUUGACUCCAAUGGGAAAAAAAACUAUAAUCCAAGUCAGUGGUGACCCAAACCAGCUUUAAUUAAAAUAUUAUUUGUGUUCCAACUUCCACAACAAAGAAAUGUAUACAGGUUUGUAACAACUAGAGUCAUUUUCAGAGGCCUGUUUAGUACAGUGCACUACAGAAAAGUGUUUUGUGUCCACUAUUACUGUUGACUAACUUUAAGGGGUGCUGUAAGAUGUGUCAUGCAUUCUGACUUCUUUACAAAGUUAAACGUACUGUCUUCUCACGCUUAACACGAGAAGACGCUUAACAUCAAAAAACGAGUCGAGCGUAUUACGUAGCAUUUCUGUGCUCAAUACACUUCACUCCACUCAACUCAACUCAACUUUAUUUAUAUAGCGCCUUUUACAACACAUUGAAUACAAGUAUGAAUUCUAAAGCAGCCCCCCCGGCCAGGCAGAUAGUGCAAAACAAUAUGCAAACGGUGGUGAGGAACCCAAAACUCCCAUCGAGAAAAAAAACCUCAGGGGAACCCAGGCCCAACCAGGGGAUUCCAGUUCCCCUCUGGCAAAAGCUGCUGCCUCUGCACAAGCUCAACAGUGCUUGCACAACAAGGCUUAAUAAAAAUAUAAAAAUUAAGGAUUUAAGAUUAUCAUUAACAAUCUAAUAGCAUUUGAAAUGUUGUAGGAAAAACAAAGUUGUCGCGUCCUUUAUCCAGCUCUAUCCUCUUAGCUCUUGUCAGGUCACCGCUUCCUAUUCUCAGCUCUGCCAUCAGGUCUGGGCAUGAACUGCAUCCUGCGGUAACCUUGUAACAAAGAGACAAGACUGGCUGAGAGUAGAGUACUGUUCUGCACUCUUUGAUGCAACAAGUACAUCAUUUGUUGUUGGAUGUGUUCCUGGUUCAGGUUGAUCUAAAUAAUGCAGCCUAAAUCCUUUGAGGAUUAAUAUUAUGGAAGUGUAGUGUAUGCAAGAUUAAAAAGAUGAGUCUUUAGUCUAGAUUUAAACUGACAGAGUGUGUCUGCCUCCCGGACCGUGCAGGGAAGAAUAUUCCAAAGUUUAGGCGCUAGAUAAGAAAAGGAUCUACCACCUGCACUUGAUUUUGAAAUUCUAGGUAUUACCAACUGACAGAACGCCUGAGAGCGUAAUGUACGUGGAGGUCUGUAAUACAAUAGAAGUUAAUUCAAAUACUGCGGCGCUAGACCAUGUAGGGCUUUAUAGGUAAUAAGCAAGAUCUUAAAGUUAAUGCAAUGCUUUAUAGGUAACAAGUGCAAGGUUGACAGAACCGGGGUUAUAUGCUCAUACUUUUUUGUACGUGUAAGAACUCUGUAAAUCCACCACCGAUCUUACAGAUUUCUGAAAGUUUUUUUCUGAAAUCUAUCUUUUAUAAUUGUGAUCAAACUAAAUACUCUUCGAAGAUACGAUGUUUGCAAUACCACUCUAUAGGUACUCAAGAUUAAUAUGAGAUUGGCAGAAACCCUGUGUGUUUAGGCCGCUUAAAAAAACAUGUUCUUUAGUUUGAAAAUAUCUGGUAAAUAAAACAGUUUUCGUAUCAAUAAUACAUCAGAAUUGGAGGACAAGGUGUAAAGAUAAACAUUCACAACUCGACUAAUUUGAGUGUUUAUUAGGUGGUAGUUGUAACAUCUAAUUUUACAAAAGGUGGUAGUACUUGAAUUAAAAAGUUUGAGAACCACUGCCCCUAAAUUAUUGUUCUGUCUUUUCAAUCCAAUUUAUUUUGUUACAAUACAACAGUUUACCUUUUCAGUGUCUUUAUUUGAGGUGCACAAAUACUAAAAUAUCCUGAAUAACUAAAAUAUUAUCACAAGUGUAAAUUUUUUCUACAAUAAUACACUAUAACAAAGUGUGUGAAUAAUACGUCUCUAUUAUGAUCACAUUUUUUUCAAAGCACAUUUUAAUUGCACAUCACAUGAAGAAAGCAGUUCUAAAGCCAUGAAGACUCAUCACUACACUCAGGACUCACAGAGUCCAAUCCGGUUGGUUUAUUAUAUAGGAAAGAAGCAAUAAUAUUAGUUAUGCUUGAGGCUGUCAGUCUCUUAAUGUUCUGCCUUACAUCUCCUUUUGCAUUUGGUAUCUGGGAUGUCUAUUAUAUAUUUUGUAAUAUGUUUUAAUAUUAUUAUUGAAUAAAUUAUUAUAAAUAAUAGUUUAUCUAUAUAUAUAUAUAUAUAUAUAUAUAUAUAUAUACACACACGUUCACAAUAUUUGUAUUUUUAUAAAGCCACGGGCCUGCUUGGGUAACUCAUAUUGAUGCGUUUAUGACGUCAUGGAGCGCCAGCUGCCUCUAUAUAAGAUGCUGCCUCGCAUCAUUCUUCGUUGGUUUGUGUUCAGCGUCUACGAGAGUGUUUUGACUUCUGCGAGAUCAAGGCUCUUCCAGUGUGUGUUCUUCUCUUUGCGAUUCGUGCGUGUUUUGUGUUGGUAUUUGGAUCUAGCGAGAAGGAAGUGAGACCGGAGAGUAACCGAAAGGUGACUUAUUUGUUGACUCCUCCCGGAACGGAGGACAUCUCCACAGUUUAACUGCAUCGACUUGUUCGGAUGCACAACGCCGUGGACCAAAUCACGAUGACUACUACUGUCGCCUCUUUCAAUGACUUCGACAGCAUCCAGCCCAUUACUUUGUGGGCGGAUCUCGUUGAUGAAACCGAAUAUGAUGCGUCGGAGGUGGUCAUUCCGUCAUGGGCUAAUAUGGAUCGCCCCGUGAUGGAUGCCUUGGUUCCUGAGCCCUCAGCCAGAGGAGAUUCGAGAAUCGUGAGUUAUACAUUAUUUGACCAAAACGAUAAAUGCUCUUAAAUGUGUGACUCUGCCUGUGUAAAAACAGUUAAAGUUACUUUUAUGAGUUUGUUAUUAACAGGUUUCUACAUAAAAUCAUUUUGUUUACAUUUUGAUAUUGACCGAGUAAUGUUAUUUGUUUUCAACAGCAGAGAGUUCAGUAAGGAGAGUCUUCAGUCAGAAGAGUGACUGUCGCGUGUGGUGAAAACAAGCACCUUCUUCAUCUGAGUGAGUUGAACAAUUCUCUGGAUUUAUACACAGCUCAAAUAUCUGUAGAAACAAGCUUAAGAUUGCUAUCAUCAUUCUACCAUAAGCUUCAGAGUGAUGGCAUCUCGAGCGUCUGAGGCAAGGAAUCAGUCCAGGAGGAACAACAUUGGUUUUCCACAAGAGGAGAGGACGGGUGGAGCAAAAUUAUCAUCCAAGGCUCCCACAACUGCUUCACCAUCUUGUCAAGAUUGGCGUAGAUUACUUCCACCUGACUUUGUGAGAAGGACGGAGCGACCAGUCCGAGAUGCCUCACCACGUCAGUGAAUCAAAAAACUGUCUUGUUUACACAUUCAGUGCGUGUCUUCAGUGUAGCUCCGCCCCCUUGUUUCUC
This is a long non-coding RNA of Triplophysa dalaica, 5804 nucleotides long. RefSeq lists it as uncharacterized. The transcript is spliced from 3 exons. Lineage: Eukaryota; Metazoa; Chordata; Actinopteri; Cypriniformes; Nemacheilidae. The record is from RefSeq and is a predicted model, not a curated record.